RNAcentral lists this small RNA (78 nucleotides) under Asticcacaulis sp. YBE204. Its description in RNAcentral is "Makes More Granules Regulator RNA (mmgR)". It matches the Rfam family "Makes More Granules Regulator RNA (mmgR)". From Rfam's summary of the family: SuhB later renamed mmgR (makes more granules regulator) was a putative non-coding RNA found multiple times in the Agrobacterium tumefaciens genome and related alpha-proteobacteria. Lineage: Bacteria; Pseudomonadati; Pseudomonadota; Alphaproteobacteria; Caulobacterales; Caulobacteraceae. The record is from Rfam by way of RNAcentral.
AUCGAUUGCCCUUCCUGGGCGUUUCCUCCCUGUAGACUUUAGCCGCGCUCGUGUAGCGCGGCUUUUUUUUAGCCGAAA